AAAUUGCCCCCUAAGUUUUGCAACUGCAGUUUUGGUCCCCAAUGCCAAUUUUUGGUCAAAAAAAAUAACAUGUGGCACCUCACUUGGGGUGCCACAUCAGCGUAGACCGAGUCAAAAUUGGUCUUGGAGGCCAAAACUGCCACAGAUGCAAAACUUAGGGGGUGGUUU
Molecule: microRNA precursor, 168 nt
Filed under: Medicago truncatula (barrel medic)
Lineage: Eukaryota; Viridiplantae; Streptophyta; Magnoliopsida; Fabales; Fabaceae
Description: MIR2619 microRNA precursor family
Rfam family: MIR2619 microRNA precursor family
Source: Rfam by way of RNAcentral